Pimephales promelas (fathead minnow) is the source of this 556-nucleotide non-coding RNA. NCBI's taxonomy places the organism in Eukaryota, Metazoa, Chordata, Actinopteri, Cypriniformes, Leuciscidae. The record is from RefSeq and is a predicted model, not a curated record.
ACUAACGUUUCUUUAGUAUAACCAUGGAGUAUAAAAUUCAAUAUAUUCUCGGUAUUGCAUUGGACUGUACGAUCGACGGAAGUUAUCGAGAUCCUUAAGUCACGUGUUCCACCCGCUGGUGAUUGCGUAAAAUAACACAGAAAUAACAGCUCUCGACAACAAUCUCCUCAGACACGGACUGAAUAACUGCUGCUAGAAACGAUGCUGCUCACAGAGUCUGAGAUGUUUGAGAUGUCAGUGGUCCAGUCCUCCAGACCCUCACAGAUGUCCACUGACUGAGAAGUCCCAGGCCAGCCUGCAACCCACAACCAGCCAAACCUGAAAAUGGCCUUCCCACGGCCUCUGACUCACUGCGACGGUUGUGGUGGCUGGGACGCGGAGAAACGAGGACCGGGUCUGUCAGAACAGGACUCAAGCGGCCCGAAUCGGCCUCUUCUGAGCUGACGGACGCCCCCUGGAGCUUGCUGUGAGGAAGGACAUCAAAACAACCUGAGCAGCCAGUGAUCUGUGUGGAAGUCCAGGGCAUGCACACGGACAUAUGCCUCACACUGACCCC